UUUUCCUUCUCUUUUUCUUUCUCGUUUUCUUCUUAUUUUUCUUCCUUUUUCUGUUUCUUUUUUUCUCAUUGUGGUGGGAUCAUUUGGCCUCCCCCAUUUUUCAUUUUUUGUCCAGAGUCUCAUCUCGACUUGUGGGGGAAUCAUAGUCUCCAUCAUCCUUUCCUCACUGGGAGAAAGCCCUAAUAAUGAUGAUCAUCACACUUCUAUUUACUUCCA
This 216-nucleotide long non-coding RNA is filed under the name Hordeum vulgare. Its description in RNAcentral is "long non-coding RNA (HVUL_LNC000930)". The record is from RNAcentral. Lineage: Eukaryota; Viridiplantae; Streptophyta; Magnoliopsida; Poales; Poaceae.